AAAGUAGAACGAAUGACUGCCUCUGUUUAAGGCAGGGGAGGAAAGUCCGAACUCCUUGGCCAGGAUGCCUCGUAAUGCGAGGGUCCCAAAAUCGUAAGAUUAUGGGAUAGGAAAGUGCCACAGAAAAUAUACCGCCUUAAAUUAUUUAUUUAAGGUAAGGGUGAAAAGGCGAGGUAAGAGCUCACCGCUUGUCAAGUAAUUGACAAGGCUUGGCAAACCCCAUCCGGAGCAAGACCAAAUAGGAGGAAACAAGUGGAGCCGCUUAAUCCCUCGGGUAGGUUGCUUAAAGUAUAAGGCGACUUAUACUAAAGAGAAAUAGUCAUUUAAAACAGAAUUCGGCUUACGGUUCUACUUUAGAA
This 359-nucleotide RNase P RNA is filed under the name bacterium. RNAcentral's name for it is "RNase P RNA component class A". It matches the Rfam family "Bacterial RNase P class A". From Rfam's summary of the family: Ribonuclease P (RNase P) is a ubiquitous endoribonuclease, found in archaea, bacteria and eukarya as well as chloroplasts and mitochondria. Its best characterised activity is the generation of mature 5'-ends of tRNAs by cleaving the 5'-leader elements of precursor-tRNAs. Cellular RNase Ps are ribonucleoproteins. The record is from RNAcentral.